UGUGGUUGCUCAAGAAGCAAACUGCCUGAUUGGCUCUCUCAGGGCAGGAUGAGCCUCUUCUUCGUAUCUCAUUGACUGAUGACAGUGGCAACGAAGGCAAGUCACAGCCCUGACUUUGGAGACCAUUGAUAGAGAAGAAAGAGCCUCAGGGUAGCCAUCAGGAGACGUGGGUUUGAAUGCUGGCUCUGCAUUGUUCUAAGGUGCAUGACCUGGGCAAGUUUCUUCAUCUCUCGGAUUCUCAGGAUGCCAGCUCUCAAGUGGUGACUAUGGAAUGUCACUCAGAACAAACCAGCUAUCCCUCAUGCUAGACUGUAGGACCAGUAAAGAAAAGCAGGCUUUGAAUCUCCUGCAGGGUCAAGCAAUGGACCGUGAAAAUGUUCUCUCAGAGAGUCCUCCCAAUUGCAAAGAUGAAAAGGAAUAACAAAGAAAGAGAUUGAAGAGAAAAUAAUUCAGCUACCUCAAUAUAUCAAAGAAAAGUCUGACAUGACAUGCAAAGUUCCAUACCCUUAGAAACCCUACCUCCCUCACUCCUAACCUUGCUUCUGCAAAGGAUUAAGGGAAGAUUGAGAUAUCUCCUCAUACCUUUUGGGUUGACCUGGCUCUUAAUAAUUCUCUAAAAAACAUUUUUAUGAUUAUUUCCAUUUAAAUUAUUGUAAUAUCAAUAGUUUCUCUUGCUCUCCUUAUUUUGUAUCAGUUACUGUAAGUCUUUUCAUUCUUCUCUGUCUUCAUCACAUUUGUUGAUUUUUAUUGCACAGUAAGAUCUCAUUUGUUCAUAUACCACCAUAUAAUUAGCUAUUUCCCCAAUUCAUCAGAAUCUAUUUUGUUUCUAGUUAUUUGCUACCACAAAAAAGUG
This 853-nucleotide long non-coding RNA is filed under the name Monodelphis domestica (gray short-tailed opossum). Its description in RNAcentral is "lncRNA (ENSMODG00000037200.1)". The record is from RNAcentral. Lineage: Eukaryota; Metazoa; Chordata; Mammalia; Didelphimorphia; Didelphidae.